GGCAACCGGCUGACCAAUCACCGCCUGCCUCAUCAGCACUCCCCAGCUUCCCGCCGCCCGGCUUCCCGCCCAGCGGUUUAAACUGACCAACCGUUGCCCACCACCUCGGCUCUCCCGGCCUUCCCACUCCCUCUGCCCUUCAGCCCCCUAUAAAAGAACCCUGCUCCUCUGAGCCCGCGCGGCCAUUUUCCUAUUCUUCCCGGUUGGUCCGUCCGGAGGCUCUUUCCUCUCAAUAAAGCCUGAACUUGAGACUUUCUUCUAACCUGCGAUCCGGUUUUUUUCCUAACGAGCUCUGUCCUCCCGCAGAGGAAAAGGCCUACCUGGAGUAGGAUUCAGAGAGUACAGUCCAAGGAAAGAAGCUUACCCUGUCUGGACAGCCUUCAAGGAGGUCCCCUCACUGGUCUAAGGAGUGAAAGUUGACAAAAUGCAGAAGUUGGCUCUGACCAUCACUACUCUAAGUCUUGGUCCUUUGAGCCAACUAGUGACUCAUUUGCAAAUGACUAGGUGUGAACAGGCAAGUUAUGUGAUAUUUUAUCUAUGUCAACAAGCACAAUUACAACAGCUGCUAUGACAAAGAUGUAGUCUACACAACAAAGCUAUUUUUGCAGUCUUCAGAGACUAUGUGUUCUUAAUCUAGCAUCUUUGAAAUCAUACAACUGACUUUUCACAAAGGAUAUUUUCUAAUUCCUGGUCUGGGUUACAAUCACUCUUUAUCAUGAAAAACUGUGUAUUUUGUGUAACUGCCUGCAACUGAAGGGGUAGGGGUGAGUUAAGCCUUUAUCACUCCUUUGUGUCCUACCGAGUAGCAAUUAGCCUCUUAUUCCUUUUUUCUUCAAACAGAAUUAAACAAAACAGAAGAGUGAGACAGGAAGAGGUUGGAGUCACACAUGCAGGAUGCUGCAUUUACUUGCUAAUUUACCUUUUAAUCCAGCAAGCUGAGAAAGUGCUUUCCCAAACCACAUACCCCUGAAGGCCCAUUCCAUCUCAAUUAGUCCAGACACAUUACUCACAGAUGAGGACCCAGAAAUUCAGAAAGGUGGGAAGGCUUCCACAAAAUCCCAGAAAUCAAGGGAGAGUGAGGUUUAGCGCUUCAUUCUCACAUUCUUAGACAACAGUUCUCACUGGGUAUGUUUCAGAUUUAUCCCAUGACCUUAAACCAUGUUGGUCCCAGGUUUUUUUAAAUGAUGGCUUUUUAUGUUAUUGUUAAGGUUGGAUUUAUUCUCUUGAUCACUGGUACUAAUUAUAAACACAGAAGAGUAUAACAAUCUAGUUAAUAAUUAUAAUUUUUAAAAAACCCUCAGUGGCUCGGAUUUUCUUUGAUUUCUGGGAAUAGUGCCACCCAUGACAACGGAUUGGAAUCACUUACAUUUAUACUUAUUUUCAAAAUCCAGAUGUUUCACAGGUACAUUUGAGAUUUGUUACAACAUAUAAAGUGAAAUCUGUGAAUCCGCAAUGAUAACCAGAUUAAUAAUUGCCUUGCUCAUGCAUUCAACACAUAUUUACUGAGCUCCUCACCACAGCUCACCUGCACUUAGGAGUACUCCCAAUUGCGCUGCAGAAACUGUAACAAUGCCAGUCUUCCAACUGCCUUAUCUCAAUCAUGUUAACAGCACAUUCUGCUAAACUUACUUUCCCACUAUGAUUCAUCUGGAGAAAGGUGAUUUUAGGAUAACUUUCAUUUUCUCCAGUGUGGGUGAAGAGAAAGAGAGCAAACUUUGUUUUAUUGUAGAAAACUCACUGGUUUGACACCCAUCAAGAAGUAACUUUACUUUUUAUUUUCAGAAAUAUCAGUUUCCUUAUUCCUAUUCCUUUUUUUUUUUGGACAGAGUCACACUCUGUAACCCUGGCUGGAGUGCAGUGGGGCAAUCUUGGCUCACUGCAAUCUACCUCAGCCUCCCAAGUAACUGGGAUUACAGUCGUGCGCCAACACACCUGGCUAAUUUUUUUUUUUUGUAUUUUUAGUAGAGAGGGGGUUUCACCAGGUUGGCCAGGCUGGUCUCAAACUCCUGACUUCAAGUGAUCCGCCCACCUCGGCCUCCCAAAGUGUUGGGAUUACAGGCGUGAGACACUGUGCCCAGCCCCUUCUUCCUCUUUAAUUUUCUUAAGUAUAAGCUACUAUUACCUAGAAAUCCUGAACUGGGUGAUGUGCACACUUUAAGUAUUCUAAUAGUUAACAAUAUUCCAAGACAGUUUCUUCAUACUGUCCAGAAUGUGAUUAUACAUAUUUGGAUGUUUGAUCUCCUGUUAUGUAGAAUCUUAGAAAAGUAAAGCAGGGUUUCAGCCUUGCAGAGCAGAGUUUAAUUUUGCUAAGGCUACUAACAGUAUAAAGAAAAUUGGCUACCUGGGAAUUUCCUCCCUGCAUAAAAUUUAAAAAUGCAUCUUUUAAGAGGACUUCUUAGUACAAAGUUAAGGCAGUGUUCUUAUUUUGCAUGGGAUCAGCCUUGUUUGCAGUUUUGAAUGACAAGUCCACAAACUGAAAGGUUUGGUUAAUAAACCGUAAACCCCAACAUCUCUUUAUUAGCGCUGAAAGAGUCGAGUGAUCUCAAUUACAUGGAACAGAGAAUUGAGGCAAUUAUCCAAUCAUUCAAGUCCAGGAAAAAAAAAUCUUUGGCUUGAAUUGUACAGAAAGUGCCCCAAUUUCCUAUUAAAACUUUAGAAGACCAACUCUGACAAAAGUCUUUCCUUUUAAAAUGUCUUAAGGGUAAAGCUAAUGAAGUCGCCACCAGAGUAUUGAGUUUUAUAUGUUGUUAGUAGUUUCCAGGUCACUUACUACAUUUUUUCCCCCAGGAAAUGAAUUCAGGAAUUUCUUUGAACACUUAGCUCCAGUGGAAAAUUAGUCUAAGCUUUUUUUUUAUUCCCAGGCAUGCAUUCUUUAUCGGAAUAGUAAGACACCUUUGGAACAGGGGCAGGUACUGUCUUUUGUUCAGGUUAAGGGGUAAACAAAAGGCACCAAAGGAAGGUAGAGGACAUUAAUCUACAGCUCAAAAUUCUUAUAUAGUUCAACAACUAAAAUUCUAACAGUGGGCUAUGUUUUCUUGGGAUUCUACACACAGGUGCCAUGUGAACAGCAGUUGGAAAAAGAAAGUACAAAAAGAGGUUAAAAGUAUGCUAGACAAAAAAAUGAGAAAAUGACAGAGGAGCCAGAGCCAGGUGAAAUGAAGAAGUAAAGCAAAAAUCCUUCGAAGACAAAGACAAUCAGCUUUCAAUUCUGUAGUCUGUUAGAUGAAAGGUGGGCCACUCCUGUGUCCUCAAAAUGAAGGGACAUUUCAAGUACUAGAAGGUACAUUCUCCUGGUAUUUUCCUAAGCCCAACCAGUUCUGAACCCUGCCCCCAACCCUCCCUGCAGUCCUAGCUCCAAGCCUGCAGCUUUGAAAUGCAAAGCUUUGAAAUGAAUGGCAUGCCUGGACAGAACACAUCCUGAAUCACAGUCUAUCGACUGGCAUUGCCCAAUGCUGUUUAUGCUUGUAUUUACCCAGGCUUCCACCCAGCCACAUAAAUUAUAAAUUCAUCUAUACACCCGCUGGGGAAUCCAAUGCACACAUUGCACGAAAGGGAGAAUAUGAAAUAUUUCCACGGGUAAACACAGGAUUUAAAUAAAGAUCUGGCUUACCUGGACAUUUAAAUGAAUACAAGGAUGUAACUCUUUCUGUAAAAACGUAUUGCCUUAGAAUCACUUCUUUUUUUUUAGGUCUAAUACCACUUUAGGAAAUGUUUUCAACGGCUACAUUUAGGUAUCUAAUGUCAUAAUAGAGCUCUCAUAGCAUUUUUGCCAACAAUUUCUGCAAUGCUUAAAAAAACGGAUCAGGGGUCAGUAAACUUUCCAUUAAGUCCAUUAAAUAAAUAUUUGAGGCUUUAUGAGCCAUGCAGUCUGUUACAAGUAUAAGACACUGCAGUUGUAGCAGAAAACAGCCACAAGAAAACAUAUAAACAAAUAUGUGGCCACGUUCCAAUAGAACUUUACAUAAGGACACAGAAAUUUGAAUUUCAGAUAAUUUUGACAUCAUGAAAUAUUUUGAUUUUUUUUCAACCAUUGUUACCUUGUGGGCCAGAUCUAGCCAAUUGUUUGAACCAUAGUAGACGGUUCAAAGAUAAACCCUGUUGCUGUCACAGCAAUAACCGAAGUGGUAGAGGGAUCAGGGAAAGGCAGUGCAAGGAGGCAAUAUUGUGAAGUUGCAUUAAUCAUGGUUUUUUUUCUGUAUCUUAUGAUGUUCUAAUAUCUUAUAAAUCUUGCUGGCAGGGAAGAGACUCCAGGACUAGUUAAUUCUUGCAGACAGCAAAGGACUGGGCCCCUGAGCAUACCCAACUAUUGCCAAGAACAUAGCCCCAACCUUCCCCUAUGGCUAACUCACACACACCAAGCCAAUAUAGAAAUUGUCCUAACUCACCCCAGGCACCAGGUACCCGCAAAUGGAGACCACCCCUCCAGCACAGACCCUGCUGGAAUUACUCAGACUUGCCAUCUGAAACUGUUGGCUUUGCUCUGCCUUGCCUCCCUACAGAAACCUGUCAAGGCCUAUCCUUUCUCUUUGCUCCUGCUUCUGUCCCCAACUGACACCAGUGCUUCCCCUGUGGCCUGGCAUGACAUGGCAUGUGCCCUUCCCUCUCAGGAAAUUGAGUAAUAUAAAGCUUUCAGUGGCAUUGUCCUGUGUCACCACUCAGCUACCCCAAUAAAUUAAAAUCUCAACAGGUAUCAUGAGACGGAAGUGCCUUCCUACUCUCAGCAGAUCCCAGGACCAGUAGCAUUAGCAUCCCCUGGGCCCCAUCUCAGACCAACAGAAUCUGCAUCUGCAUGUAAAAAAGAUUCCUGGGUUAUUUGCAAGGAUAUUGAAGUUUGAGAUGCUGUGAUGGUGUGAUUUAAAGCUUAGGGUUUGGAGUUAGAAGGUCCAUUUCAAAUAUUUGUGCCUCUCAUUAGCUAAGUGGCCUUGCACAAGUAAUUACUAAUGUAUAACCCUUUCCACCCCUAAUAAGUAGAGAUGAAUCUAUGCUAAACACUUAGAAAAUGCCUGGCAAAUGAUACAAUCAUUCAUUUUUAGAAAACAAAUGCCCAUGCACACACUGUUAAGGCAACUUCCUCAGAUACAUUCUUAGCCAGUUUCUUGAACUGAUCCACUGUGAUUAUAGUGCCCAUGCCCACCUCCAACAAUUCUAUCCAUAAAAGAAAAGAAAGACGCCACAACUCCUGGCUGCAGAGUGUAAAAUAUAUUGAUGGUUGUAAAGGGACAACUUGGGGAUAUUUUAGGUGUGCUGACAUGAUGCACAGCAUACAUACAUGCUCUAGUUUUUGGAACCAUGUCGUUAAGUUUUCCAAUACAUCUGUUUUGAACAUGGCAUUUUGUUUUUUUCAUUAGCACAAAUUACUACUCUACAGUUUCUCCUAGAGUAAAUAAAUAUAAUGGCUGUUUGCAGAGCGACUACAGACUUACUUAGAUGUUUAACAAGUGAACGAUUUCACAAUUAGAUAACCACUGAGUUAACAGCAAGGUGUUUUUCAUCUGUUUUGUUUACUGCUAUAGUGGGGGAUGGGUGGAAACUUUUCCAAUUUAUUCUUUGUUGACAUCUUUAGUUACCAACACAAACUCCUAAAAGUAAUGAAAAAUAAGUCAGUUAAAAAAAAUUAAAUUGUUAUUAAACCAUGGGUUUUCCCAAGAUCCUUAAAAUCAGCUCAUUUAAAUUUACAAGAGAAAAAAAGAUAGG
Non-coding RNA from Callithrix jacchus (white-tufted-ear marmoset), 5694 nucleotides. The record is from RefSeq and is a predicted model, not a curated record. NCBI's taxonomy places the organism in Eukaryota, Metazoa, Chordata, Mammalia, Primates, Cebidae.